This 973-nucleotide long non-coding RNA is filed under the name Homo sapiens (human). RNAcentral's name for it is "HSALNT0178039". The record is from RNAcentral. Lineage: Eukaryota; Metazoa; Chordata; Mammalia; Primates; Hominidae.
CUUUAUUCUGUAGGCAAAAGAGGAGUUUUUGGUGGAUUUUAAGCAAUAUCAGAUCUGCGAAAAGAUGACUCAGGUAACAACUGGAGAAAGGAUCAGAGGCAAGCAAGAGUCCAAGUACCUGAAUCUCUCUCAUCCAUGGAGUGUCACCAUUUUCUGAGGCUGAAAGUUCUUCCACUAGCACCGAUGGGAAAACUCCAAUACGCCCAUUGAAUUCCCCUUCCCAGAAGCCAUCAUCAUCUUGGUUUUCUUUGUUCAAGAUACGGAUUAUUGCUCCCUCAGGAAAAGAUAACUCAUCAUCUGUCUGGCCCUCAUAAUCAUAAAGUGCUUUCACAAAACAUACUAGGGAGCAAGAGAAAAACAAAUCUGGUAAGAUAAUUAACAGCCGGUUGCUUUUGCAACCACCCCUAUGCUCACAUGACAACUAAAAGAGCAUCAUACAGAAUAGGAUUAAAGUUGUAAUUUUUUUACUCACUGAUGAAUGAUUAACUUUAGGGUUCUACUGUGCAGGACAAACGUGACCAUAUAAAGAAAAGCAUAUUAUAGGACAGGAGGAAAGUUGUGCUUUUUAUCCUACUGAAGGCUUACUCCAGGGCAAUACAGUUUAGGUCAAACGUGACCAAAUAAAGAGUGCCUUGUUUCAGUCUUUACCACUGGCAUCUCCGUUGAGGCUGCCUGAAACGAGUUCUGCUUCCGUGGAAUUGCUGGACGUGUGUGACCGACUGUCCAAAGCGGCCAGGGACUGCAGCAUGCUCAGGAGGCUGUUCGAGGUGGGAAACUGUAGGUACUUUUCUGGCACAUAACCCACUUGGCCAACUUUAUUUCGAGCCUGGGUAAAAGACAUGUGACAAAACAAGUUUACACACACAAUUUAGACAGGGCACAACAAAGACCAAAACAAACUCCUAAAAAUGUCACAAGAAAGGGCGAUAUGAGCAAAGGAAUAUACCUUUACCCAGUCUUCCAUAUCUCCAUC